This 1958-nucleotide ribosomal RNA is filed under the name human gut metagenome. Its description in RNAcentral is "bacterial LSU rRNA". The stretch from base 1 to 1488 matches the Rfam family "Bacterial large subunit ribosomal RNA", at positions 829 to 2925 of the family's 2925-position model. The record is from RNAcentral.
CCAAUCGAACUCGGAGAUAGCUGGUUCUCCCCGAAAUAGCUUUAGGGCUAGCCUCAUAUUAGAUACCCGGAGGUAAAGCACUGAAUGGCCUAGCGCCCGAGAGGGUAGCGAAGCCUAUCAAACUAAGAAUGCCGGAGUAUUGAUGUAUGGGAGUCAGACAGUGUGAGAUAAAUCUCAUUGUCAAAAGGGAAACAGCCCAGAUCUACAGCUAAGGUCCCAAAUUGUAUCUAAGUGGAAAACGAUGUGGAAAUACGCAGACAACCAGGAUGUUGGCUCAGAAGCAGCCACUCAUUUAAAGAGUGCGUAAUAGCUCACUGGUCGAGCGUCUCUGCGCGGAAAAUUUAACGGGGCUAAGAUACAAACCGAAGCUUAGGCUGCACGAAAGUGCGGGGUAGGGGAGCGUUGUGUAAGCGGAGAAACAGUAGCGUAAGCGGCUGUGGAGUUUACAGAAGUGAGAAUGCCGGAAUGAGUAGCGCGAAUGUGGUGAGAAUCCACAUGGCCGGAAACCUCAGGUUUUUGGAGGAAGGUUCGUCCGCUCCAAGUUAGGCGGGAGCUAAGGUGAGGCCGAAAGGCGUAGCCGAUGCACAGACGGUAGAGAUUCCGUCACCACCAAAAGAGUUAAGCACAGGGACACAUAAGAAGUCUCAGAGCCGGGUGUUGGUUCCGGUAGAGAUCGAGGGAAAAUAGUACCGAAGUCUGGGAUGGAAGAUGGCGAGAAAAGCUGUGUGGAUUUCUGCGGUGCCCGUACCGCAAACCGACACAGGUAGGUAGGAAGAAGAUUCUAAGGCCAACGGGAGAAGGGUUGUUAAGGAACUCGGCAAAUUGACCCCGUAACUUCGGGAGAAGGGGUGCUCCAGAGAUGGAGCCGCAGAGAAUCGGCCCAAGCAACUGUUUACCAAAAACACAGGUUUGUGCUAAAUCGAAAGAUGACGUAUACGAGCUGACGCCUGCCCGGUGCUGGAAGGUUAAGAGGAGAUGUGCAAGCAUUGAAUCGAAGCCCCAGUGAACGGCGGCCGUAACUAUAACGGUCCUAAGGUAGCGAAAUUCCUUGUCAGGUAAGUUCUGACCCGCACGAAAGGCGUAAUGAUUUGGGCACUGUCUCAACAGCCCGCCCGGCGAAAUUGUAGUACCGGUGAAGAUGCCGGUUACCCGCGACAAGACGGAAAGACCCCAUGGAGCUUUACUGUAGCCUAAUAUUGGGUUUCGAUGUUGCAUGCACAGGAUAGAUGGGACACUGGGAAGCAGGUGCUUUGGCGCUUGUGGAGUGGCCGUUGGGAUACCAUCCUUGCGAUAUUGGAAUUCUAACCUGCGCCUUUGAAUCAAGGCGGGCUGCCACUUUUCCUUGCAACAUUCCCAUAGCAUUGGUGAAUGUUCCGGGAUUGAGGUCAUCUUUCUUCAUGCUGGUAACCGAUCCUGUAAGCUCUUUCUUUGUGGUAGAGCCGUAGCCGAUUACUACAACGUCAUUAAGCACUUUCGAGUCUUCGCGCAGGUGUAUUACAAGCUGUGUCUGAUUUCCUACUUGUUGUUCAACAGUUGCAUAACCUACAUAAGAUAUAACCAAUACAUCAGAAGGAUUCGCUUUUACAUUGAAGGUUCCAUCAACUCCUGUAAUAGAACCAUUUGUUGUACCUUUAACAAGGACACUGGCACCGAUAAUGGGUUCAUUUGCUUCAUCGAGGACUGUACCUCUUAUUGCCUUCUGGGCAAUAGCAUCAUUGCUCAUCAAAGAAAAUACUAUUAACAACAUACUUGUCAAUAGACCGUGGAUUGAACAUUGUUUUAUCAUAAUAACAGAAUUAAGGAUGAUUAUUGUAUUUCUUUUCUCAAAGGUAUAGAUACUUGUGCUCCCAUUCUGGUAACAGAAAUAGAAGAGGCUUUACUUGCAAAUAUAAUUGCAUCUUUUAGAUUUUUGCCCUCAGACAGAGCUACGCACAAUCCGCCGCAGAAUGUAUCUCCGG